GCAAGNUCGACGAGAUCUUCGGGUCUAGUGGCGCACGGGUGCGUAACGCGUGGGAAUCUGCCCUUGGGUUCGGAAUAACGUCGGGAAACUGACGCUAAUACCGGAUGAUGACGAAAGUCCAAAGAUUUAUCGCCCAGGGAUGAGCCCGCGUAGGAUUAGCUAGUUGGUGAGGUAAAGGCUCACCAAGGCUACGAUCCUUAGCUGGUCUGAGAGGAUGAUCAGCCACACUGGGACUGAGACACGGCCCAGACUCCUACGGGAGGCAGCAGUAGGGAAUAUUGGACAAUGGGGGCAACCCUGAUCCAGCAAUGCCGCGUGAGUGAUGAAGGCCUUAGGGUUGUAAAGCUCUUUUACCCGAGAUGAUAAUGACAGUAUCGGGAGAAUAAGCUCCGGCUAACUCCGUGCCAGCAGCCGCGGUAAUACGGAGGGAGCUAGCGUUGUUCGGAAUUACUGGGCGUAAAGCGCACGUAGGCGGCGAUUUAAGUCAGAGGUGAAAGCCCGGGGCUCAACCCCGGAACUGCCUUUGAGACUGGAUUGCUUGAAUCCUGGAGAGGUGAGUGGAAUUCCGAGUGUAGAGGUGAAAUUCGUAGAUAUUCGGAAGAACACCAGUGGCGAANGCGGCUCACUGGACAGGUAUUGACGCUGANGU
This 649-nucleotide ribosomal RNA is filed under the name Sphingobium sp. RNAcentral describes it as "bacterial SSU rRNA". It matches the Rfam family "Bacterial small subunit ribosomal RNA", at positions 57 to 752 of the family's 1533-position model. The record is from RNAcentral. Lineage: Bacteria; Pseudomonadati; Pseudomonadota; Alphaproteobacteria; Sphingomonadales; Sphingobiaceae.